This 362-nucleotide ribosomal RNA is filed under the name uncultured bacterium. RNAcentral describes it as "bacterial SSU rRNA". It matches the Rfam family "Bacterial small subunit ribosomal RNA", at positions 29 to 417 of the family's 1533-position model. The record is from RNAcentral.
AGCGAACGCUGGCGGCAGGCCUAACACAUGCAAGUCGAGCGGCCGUAGCAAUACGGCAGCGGCAGACGGGAGAGUAACACGUGGGAACGUACCCUUUGGUUCGGAACAACACAGGGAAACUUGUGCUAAUACCGGAUAAGCCCUUACGGGGAAAGAUUUAUCGCCAAAGGAUCGGCCCGCGUCUGAUUAGCUAGUUGGUGGGUAACGGCCCACCAAGGCGACGAUCAGUAGCUGGUCUGAGAGGAUGAUCAGCCUCACUGGGACUGAGACACGGCCCAGACUCCUACGGGAGGCAGCAGUGGGGAAUAUUGGACAAUGGGCGCAAGCCUGAUCCAGCCAUGCCGCGUGGAUGAUGAAGGCCC